Molecule: long non-coding RNA, 3386 nt
Organism: Dreissena polymorpha
Lineage: Eukaryota; Metazoa; Mollusca; Bivalvia; Myida; Dreissenidae
Exons: 3
Source: RefSeq, a predicted model, not a curated record
UGUUUGCAGCACAUGCAAAAGUCAAAGUAUUGAAUAAAGUGCAGAUAUUUUUGUGUGAAACAUGUAUGAAGUUUUUUGUGUGGAAAACGUGGUUAUAAUCAUGAUCAAUUGUACAAAAACCAUUCCAAAUAUGGAAGAGAAGCAAUAAUAAAUGGCCUGUCACAAAGAGAAUGGAGGAUAUGCUUCUGAAAUGUGAUGUGCAUAAGGACAAGAAACUGAAAACGUUUUGCCAGGGCCACAGUCAGCUGUGCUGCUCAGAUUGCGUUCUGCUUCAUCACAGACGGUGCAUCGAUGUGACUCAUAUUUCUGAGUCAGUAAAAAUGCUAUCAUUGGAUAUGAAAAAGUUGUCAAUCAAUCUUCAAACUAUUCUUUACCAACUUAAUAUGUUUAAGAGUACACAAGAGACCAUCAUUCAGUUCAUGGAGGUAUCAUAUAGUGAAACACUGCACGAAAUCCGAGACAUGCGUGACAGAUUAAAUGCUUAUUUUGAUGAGCUAGAAAAUGCAACCAUGAAAGAACUGGAUGAAAUUAGGAACUUAUUGCAAACCUCUCUCAAGAAAGAUGUUGACAACUGCAGCAGACUGAAGGAUGAAAUGCAAGUACUUGGUGAAGCUGUACAUGGCCUGUGUGAUAAGAGCAAGAAAGAAAUGGAGUUAGUAGCCAGCAGGAAAUGUCUUGAAAAAAUACAAGAGUGUGACACAUCUGAAAGAGAGCCCAUUUAAGAUUCAGAGUUCAAUGAUAUUCAAGGCAAAAAUUGAUAUUGAGCAGUACCUGUCUAAAAUGUCAGAUCUUGGGAGGAUUGUAUUAAUGAAUCCAAAUCAGUUGAUGACAGUCAGGAGAAAGUCUGUGUAUAAUAUGAAAAUAUCGAUUGACACGGAUUUGUCUUGCUUCAUCACAGGUAGUUGCAGCUUACCUUGUAACUGUGUCAAUGUUGUUGAUAAUAAAAAUAAAAGAGUAGCUGUUUUACCAGCAGUUCAAUGUAGUCAGCCACUGUGAUGUGUCUGGUGAGCUAUGGGACAUUUGUCUAAUUACAUCCUGUGAGGUGGCUGUGACUGUUGGCAAUGAUGUGCAGUUCAUCUCUGUAAGAAAUGGGUCUCUGAUUAAUGGGAGAAGGUUUCAGUUACAGCAUGCUGCAUGUGGAAUUGCCCACCAUCUCAGAGCGUUGUACGUCACCUCUGGCACUGCCCUGUACCACUACAUUCUGACAAGGACACUCGUGAAAAAGCUUUAUGAGGUCGCAGAAGGGGACUCGGGAGUGUGGAAGUGUUCUGUGAGUCCAGCUGAGGACAGGAUCUAUGUCACCAACAACAGCCAGAACAAACUGAUCACACUGGCCAUGGAUGGGACCCUGAUAUCCACUCUCACGUACCCUGAACUACUACAUACAUAUGGCGUUCAUGUUACACCUGCAGGACAGGUGCUUUUAUGUGGAAAUAUCACCAAUUCUUUCAUACAGGUGGAUCGUGAGGGCAGAAAGAAGCUGGUAACUCUGCUUUUACAGAAAGAUGGAUUGAGCAGCCCAACGUCUGUCUGCGUCAACAAAAAAGUCGACCAGAUCACUGUGGGACUAUUCAACAACAACCAAACAAGUGUUCUGGAACAAUUGCUCAUGAGUCCUCCUGUUGAAUAUUUAUGUAUACAAUCUUGUAAAUGUAAUUUACAAUUUGUCUUUUAAAAUGACAAAAGAACCCAUCAUAGUUUGUACCACAGGCAGGAAAAAAACUAGCUUUGCAAAUUUACAUAGUGUUGAUUGUUUUGUUAAUGACUUUUGAAUAUUUAUAUUGCAAAUAAGUCAUAUUUAACCAAGUUCUCACCGAAGUUCAAUAUCCUGUUUAUACGCUUUGAACAUGUCCAGCUUCUUGUUCUAUAUUGUGUUGUGUCUGUAGAUAACAUGUGAUGUUAUUGUGUGAGUAAAUAAGUUUGUAUGCAGACUUUGCUCGCAAAGUUUAUUAAAUUCAAGAAAAUAAAUUGUUAAAUCGUUGAACAUCUGGUUUGUUUACAUACCUUGUUUAAGUUCAUGAAAUGUAAGAUUUAAAAAAAGUAACAUAAACUACUACAUAUAUUCAACUUCAAAUAUCUUUGUGGUAUGUAUAUUAUAUGACUGACAGAAAUGAACAUUAUACUGUAAAAUUGGAAUAAUAGUCAAGCGCACUGACUGGUGUUAGCUUGUUUGUCUAAUCUUAAGGAAACUUGUUCAGAACAUUUGUUCUAAGGAUUUCUCAUUGUAAUUCACAAAUGGGUCCGAGCUUUAUUCCAUCCUUGGUGAAGGCAGCAUAUAGCAGUCGCAAUGUGAUUCUGUGCGUUGAUGUGAGUGGCCAGGUGUGCGUCCGAUAUUUUUAAUCUCAGCCAUAACCGUGCCAUAUUUUUAAACAUCGUGAGAGAUUUUGUUAUUAGCAAUACCUUUCUCCUAACCUCAAAAGUCGGGGUCACAUUUAGAGGUCUAAGGUAAAUUGGUCUUGGGUCUGGUCUGUUGAAAAACAUGGUUGAAAAGGGGGAGGGUAAGGGCUUGGUUUUUCAUCAUAUGGCUAUGGUGAAAUUUUGUGAACCCUGUAUAAGUCAUAUUAUUUGCCAACUCAUCAUGAAACAUGCUCAGAGCAUUUGUUCCAAUCAUAUCUCAAACGAAUUCGUAAAUGGUUCUUGCCCGUGGACCAGUUUCCCUUGUAUGACUAUACUACAAGCGUACGAACACUCUUUCGUCACAAUGUUGGCCCAAUCUUCAUGAAACUUGCUCAUAUAUUUUUUUCUAAGCCUGGUUCAAAAAUGGUUCCGGUCCAUUCAGUAAUCGAAUAAAGUAGUUUGAGCAAUCAAAUCUUAUUUUUUGUUUUAUUACUUUAGACCUGGAAAAAGUUUUCUACUCCAGCUAUAGAAAACAAAGAAUAUGAACAAGCCUAGUCUGUAACUUACCAGAAAGUGCAGGACAUGAGGGGUUGUGCUAAGUUCGGUAUCGGUCCUUUUAAAAACAUGAGUGUAAGCGGGUAGGGCAUUUUCAUUAUAUGUCUAUAGUGUUUUAAACCUUCUGAAUGCCAUCAUAAGACAGUUGGUGUCCAAUCUCAAGCAUCUUGAUAAGAAUGUUUGUUUUUAGAAUAUCUUAGAUAACUUAAUUUUUUAGGUAUGUUACAAAUAUGGCUGCCAUGGGAUUUUUCACUAUAGCUUGAAAACUUUGCUGAAGUGGAAAAUUUUCACUCAAGUUGAUUUUGCUUCUUUGUGAAUAUGACUGCAACUAUUAAAGUGAUAACUUUAAUUGUGUGAUGUACUGAAAACAGUUAUGAUAAUAAGCGUUGUGUAAAUGAACAUUAUGUUUAUUAAUUGUGUUUGUCGAGAUUUAUGUAUUAUUUAUUUACUACCGUUGUUUUAACUGAUGGAUAUGAUUUUUUUGUAUUUAGUUA